This 72-nucleotide transfer RNA is filed under the name Ictidomys tridecemlineatus (thirteen-lined ground squirrel). RNAcentral describes it as "Spermophilus tridecemlineatus (thirteen-lined ground squirrel) tRNA". It matches the Rfam family "tRNA". Rfam says of the family: Transfer RNA (tRNA) molecules are approximately 80 nucleotides in length. Their secondary structure includes four short double-helical elements and three loops (D, anti-codon, and T loops). Lineage: Eukaryota; Metazoa; Chordata; Mammalia; Rodentia; Sciuridae. The record is from Rfam by way of RNAcentral.
UGGGCUGUAGCUCAGUGGUAAAGCGCUUGCUUUGCAUGCAUGAGGCCCUGCGUUCGAUCCUCAGCACUACAU